ACGCGGAGCAUCUGGACUACACUUCCUAGAAUACCAAGGAAAACCAUCGGGAGUCUCACCUUCCAGGUAGACGUGUUGGGGGCGCAGGAAGUUUCUUGCCUCCACUUCCCAGGAUGCCAGGGCGGAAAGAAUCCCACAGUCCCGACUUCCGUGGUGGUAGUAAGAGUCUGCUCCUGAGUCGUCCCGCGAAGGAAAGCAUCAGAGACAGAAAAAAUUAAGCCAUUCACCCAGUGUUCUACUGAGGGAGACAAAGAAGGUGCGCCCUCAAGGCGAGAGCCCUGGAGACCGUCCAAGGCCAGGUACAAUCCUACCCACCCCUCAGCCUCUGCCCAAAGGAACCACUGCCCACGACCCAGCCUUCAAGCCAUCGCUCUCUGACGCAGCGCUUCCACACAAAAUUAAUGGCUGGGUUAGAUCGCUAACCGGGGAAGUUGGGAAGAGUCGCAAAACGCGAAAGCAACUCACCACAGCCAAAGAAAAGGCGAGAACCAAACCACCCGGAAGGGAAGUGACUGAAACCCCGCCCCCAGGCUACGAUAGGGAUAUCCUUCCCAGAAUUCCCUUGUCGCUGCUGCGCCUGUACGGAAGUGUAAGAGUCGCCACAGAACUGUGGACUACAUUUCCCAGAAAACCAGAGGAGAACACAGCCCGAGUUCCCAUCCUUCUCCACCGGAAGUACUGGAGACGCUUCGGAGACGUUGGACUGCAGUUCCCACAAUACCCUUAGGGACGAAGUUUCUAUUGUGGAGCUCCUGAGCAACUCCAGUGGUGAACUUAAGAUUCUCUGAAGAAUGCACAAGAGAUGAAGGCUCAGGGAGCUGCACUAUUGGAAAUCUACGUAGCAGAACUGUUGGUCAAAACAUUUUAGUUUAAAACCGUAUUACAACACAGUUUUCUCAUGGUGUAAUGGGUUAAGGAUCUGUCGUUAGUCACUGCAGGGGCUUGGGUCGCUGCUGUGGUGUGGUUUCAAUCCCUGGCCCUGGGAACUUGGCGGGGGGGGGCACAACCAAAAAAAAAAAAAACUAAAAAUUACUUACAAGGGUGAAUAUUAAGUUAUGUGAAUUAUAUAUGAUUAAAAAAAAAAA
This 1085-nucleotide long non-coding RNA is filed under the name Sus scrofa (pig). RNAcentral's name for it is "lncRNA (ENSSSCG00045023307.1)". The record is from RNAcentral. Lineage: Eukaryota; Metazoa; Chordata; Mammalia; Artiodactyla; Suidae.